UAAGUGCUAUGAACAAAAUAAAGCAGAGUCAACAGCGAGAGAACAAAGUGCGAUGCAUGUGCUGGGGAGAAGGCAUAGGAAACCUGAACAGUGCAGGCACCUGAAUCAGGAGAAGAAUGCAGGGAAGCUUCAUGGGCAGAAGGUCAACAGGUAUCUCGAAAAGCCUUCCCAAAGUACCUCACUCCAGAGGAGACACAGCACAGUGAGCUGGGGUAUGCGAUGUUGGGAAUGACUUGGGAGACCUUCAACUUUAAAUAGAGGUCCGCAUGAACAGUUGGACGCUUUCUCAGUUCAUCAUUUGUGAAUUGUUUCACCAUCCCUGUCAACAGUUAUUCCUCUAAGGAGCAAUCAUCCGCAUCUUGCAAUCAUCUAGGACUACAAAGUCAUCCUGCGACUAGCAGUUAGAUUGAUGCUGCUUACUUGAGCCUCAAAACGACAUUAUGUUGUGAUAUAACCCUCAGUUACCAGACGGAAAUAGGGUCCAAUAGUAAUUGGGAAGCUCCAAAUGUUUGGCAUAGUUGUAUUUUCUGGUUUAAGCACUUGUCUUAUGCUUUUCCCUGUAUUUUUUGAAUAUUAAUUGUUAUCAUGGGGCAUAAAAGAUAUACAUCUUAAUGAGCAAAACUAAAGAGGCAUUCUAAUGUUCUUGAACUGACAAGAUAGACACUGAGAUACGCCCUACACAGAUGACUUUUAAAAAAAAAAUGGGAAUAUAAUAGCCUCUGGAGAUACUGGUCAGGACAAAUAGAUGUUUCUUCAGGUCUACUUAGACACUAGAGAUUUAUGAUAUGAAUCUAUUAGAAUAUAUUUCAUCUGCUCCUUAAAUCUGGAACAAAGAAGAGCCCUUGAUUUGAAGAGAAAAGUUUUAAACAGGCACAUCGGUGUGAAAAGGAUGAUUUGAACAUUUUGCUGACACUCAUGAAAUUUUUGUCGGGAAAGGAACGUUCCUCUUGCUUCUGACUUGAUAGCCAGGACCAAUCAUUUUGACCAAGUGACAGGAUAAUAAUGUGGCAAUUAUACUUUGAAGCUGAAAUUUAAUUGCAAAGCACUGUCAGCCUGUUUCACUGUCUAUGUAUGUGUGUUUUUUUAAUUAAUUUUAAAUCUUUAAUUUCUACAAAAUAAAUGGAUAUGUAUUGAUGGCACAAUAAUAUUAUUUUGCUAGGUGUUUUUUUCUGAACAUACCACAGUAAUAGAGCUCAGAGAUUUUUUCAAAAGAAAAACUAGAUACCAUUUUUGCUUUUGGAAAUCUUGGAAUAAUCAUAUAUUAUUUGAUGCAUAAAAAUGUAUGUGACACAUUUGUAAAUUAUAAAGCAUAAU
This is a non-coding RNA of Sus scrofa (pig), 1314 nucleotides long. The record is from RefSeq and is a predicted model, not a curated record. Lineage: Eukaryota; Metazoa; Chordata; Mammalia; Artiodactyla; Suidae.